GCUGGAAUAGCUCAAUUGGCAGAGCAGCGCCCUCGUACAGCGCAGGUUCCCGGUUCGACUCCGGGCUCCAGCUCCA
This 76-nucleotide transfer RNA is filed under the name Phocaeicola sp. RNAcentral's name for it is "tRNA-Thr". It matches the Rfam family "tRNA". Rfam says of the family: Transfer RNA (tRNA) molecules are approximately 80 nucleotides in length. Their secondary structure includes four short double-helical elements and three loops (D, anti-codon, and T loops). RNAcentral also lists the same sequence under 1 other name. The record is from RNAcentral. Lineage: Bacteria; Pseudomonadati; Bacteroidota; Bacteroidia; Bacteroidales; Bacteroidaceae.